RNAcentral lists this ribosomal RNA (447 nucleotides) under uncultured bacterium. Its description in RNAcentral is "bacterial SSU rRNA". It matches the Rfam family "Bacterial small subunit ribosomal RNA", at positions 355 to 825 of the family's 1533-position model. The record is from RNAcentral.
UAACGAAUCUUCCGCAAUGGGCGAAAGCCUGACGGAGCAAUGCCGCGUGUGGGAUGAAGCGCCUUCGGCGUGUAAACCACUGUCAGGGAAUGGAACCAAUGAUUAUUCCCAAAGGAAGUGGCGACUAACUCUGUGCCAGCAGUCGCGGUAAUACAGAGGCCACAAGCGUUAGUCGGAAUCACUGGGCUUAAAGGGUGCGUAGGCGGGCCCGCAAGCGUCUUGUGAAAUCCCAUGGCUCAACCAUGGAAUUGCAGGGCGAACUGCGGGUCUUGAGGCAGGUAGGGGCCGGAAGAACAGUAGGUGGAGCGGUGAAAUGCGUAGAUAUCAAGAGGAACACCUGAGGUGAAGACGGGUUGCUGGGCUGACACUGACGCUGAGGCGCGAAAGCCAGGGGAGCAAACGGGAUUAGAUACCCAGGUAGUCCCUGAGCGGGCUGGCAAGGCGCAU